Long non-coding RNA from Rosa chinensis, 1845 nucleotides. RefSeq lists it as uncharacterized. Lineage: Eukaryota; Viridiplantae; Streptophyta; Magnoliopsida; Rosales; Rosaceae. The record is from RefSeq and is a predicted model, not a curated record. The transcript is spliced from 5 exons.
CACAGCCUAAAGGACAGGCCCCAACAACACGGCUCACACGGUCAGAGCUAAUUAAAGCAAAAGACCAGGACACCAAACAACAUGGAAAACAAAGAGAGCAGAAAACAUAGAAACUGGAAAAAAGAAAAUCCGACAGCAGCAUCACAGCUCCGAUGAAAAAACACACCCGCCAACCUCGGAUAAAUCAGCGGUGUCUCAAGUGAUCAAUCUGAAAAGGUGGGCAAGGGAGGCCGUCGCGAGAUAGGACAUGCACAAGGGAAGAAGGCGGUCGGUCAAUCCAGACCUCCGGGCACUUCUUCCGCACAACUAGCGAGGCAACCAAAUCAGCUGCAGAGUUCGCUUUCUGAGGAAUCCAAAACCAAGCGAAGCGCGGGUUUGAGGAUAAUCGGUGAGGAAGGGAUACGCUUGGCCACAUCGAUAGCCACCGCUGCUGCCGCCGCCUCCGCCUCCAACGCAGAGCCCGAUCGACACAAAAGAGUAGCUCCCUCAAAUAGGAUGCCAUGAGAAUCACGAGCAAGAGCAGAAACACCGGUAAGCUUCGAACUCUCAAUCCAAGCUACAUCACAGUUGAUUUUGAUAUGACCAGGAGGAGGUGGACUCCAGUUUUGGGCCUGAUUGCACAUUGCACUACUACCUGGAGAAUUAUGGUGCUUAAUCUGGCACUGAUAGUGAGAAUGAUAUUGUGGGAAUAGAGAUGAUUGUAACUGGUGGUGGUUUGAAUUUGAGGUUUGGAGAAGAGAUUGGGGAUGAGACUGAUGAAGUACGGGAUGAUUGUGGAGGGGAACUGAAGUGCGGUCAAUGUAAUGCUGAUCACUUGGGCAGGCAUAGUUAAUCGUAACAGAUGGGAUGGAAUCGGAGCAAUGAAAAUCGGGGUGUAAGGGGAGCGGAGAAAUAUGAGGCAGAGCUGGGUUUGCUCCGAGAGAAACAACAGGGUUGUAUCCAGAAGGGAUAGUAGAAGUAGAAGUAGAAAGGUGAGCAGAGAUGGGGAUUAGAGUAGAAGAAUGAGUGGGGGAAGGGGGACUACAUACCUGAGAGUGUCGCGUGUGCUCAUGAGGAUGAGGAUUUGAUCCUGAAAUGGGAUUGUGAUUAUUGCAGGUGAUGAAUUCAGCAGCAGCGAUACCAGCUCUUCUGGCAAUCAAACUCGGAUCAAUAGGGAUAGCCUCAUAGACAAAUGCAUUCCUAGCUUUCCAAAUUUCCCAGAGGAGGAAAGCAACCUUGUGACCUGUGUGGAUUCUGGGGAUGAAGCUCUUUAGGUUUGCUUGAUAUUGAUUUAAACCAAAGUUAUUCGGAUUCUACUCCAACCAUUUCGCCGAAGUCAUCAUCAGAUCAAGAGGGACCAAUCAAUUUUAUCAUCACAGCUUACUGUAUGCCAGGGAUGAGAGGUUAUGAUUUGCUGAAACGGAUCAAGGUGCUUGGAGGAAGGGGCUGAGGCGUUUCUUUUGAAGCCACCAAAGUUAUCAGAUUUGAGAAAGCUAAUUCAGCCUUACCUGAUCAAAUCACUCCACCAUUCUGGUAACAACAACACUGACAGUUGCUGGGAGGCUGCUGAUAUCAAUGACCAGUAAAAACAAAAACAAAAAAACAAAAGCACUUGAGAAUAAGUGACAAUUUGUACAUGUACUGGUAGCGAUCGUGGGAACAUGAAUCACAUCUUUGUGUUAACAUGUAUGCAUUGUUGAAUAUGUGAUCGGACCUAGGUACUGAUACGGUCUUGCUAGAUUGAUUAACUGAUGACGCGAGUUCUUUUGCUGACUAGGCAUUUCAAAAUAUCCUGGAUCAGCUAUCCUUUUCUGGUAAUGGUGUUGUAAUUAGCUAGAGAACGUACAAGAAAUCACUGAAGUUCCU